UGCAUUUGAUGAUUUGUUCUGCAUAUGAAUCUCUUUGUAAAACGUUUUGUUUUGCAUUACUGUUUCCAUAUGUGUUAUGUACUAGCAUGUAAUACAACAUUAGUCUCAUUGCCUGAUACCUCCUAAUUGCAGUAUCAGGUGUAAUCUAUUCUUCCUCAUAGUAACCAGAUGUCUUCUAUCAUGUUCUAUUCAAUCUGCUCUGUUAACAGAUCUGUGGGCCUAGGUGACAUCAUCAGUUGUUCUGCUUCUAGAGUCUCUGGGUCUUUGAAAAGUGCCAUAUAAGUCUGUUGUGGUGUUCUGAUUAUUAUAAUGAUCAUAAUGAUGAUGAAUGUAAUUAUUAUUAUUGGGUAGAAUGCAUCUGUCAUGUCUGCUCCUGCUACGCCCUCUGGUGGUCGUCCGGUGUCUCCUUGACCUACAGCUCUUUCCCUGUACUCGCUCUCUCCCCCUCCCUCUCUGUUUAAUUGUGUGGUUGGAGAAAGGUGUGCUGGAGUCAGAGCAGAUCCAUACCAGCUGCAACUCAUCCAUAAAUCAAGACUUCUACAUAUACCCAUUCCUGCCAACUUCCACUCUGCCAGAUCGUAAUCUCUGCUCAUACCGCUCUGUCUCUGGCUCCUGUCUACUGUUCCACAUCUCACCACCAACCACCUUGCUCUGGAUUUUACUCCCCACCAUUACCUUGGAUUCCCCUCAGGACCUGUUUCCCUGUUCUGCUCAGGCAACUCCAAACUCACUCUACACUCCUGUUUUUUUUUUUGCGCUCAUCUGAGCUACCCCGGUUCUGCACUUCAUAUUUCUCUGUGUUCAAUAAACAUUUUGGUGCAUUCCUCCCGGC
Molecule: long non-coding RNA, 832 nt
Filed under: Salmo salar (Atlantic salmon)
Lineage: Eukaryota; Metazoa; Chordata; Actinopteri; Salmoniformes; Salmonidae
Description: lncRNA (ENSSSAG00000106474.1)
Source: RNAcentral